UACGAAGGGGGCUAGCGUUGCUCGGAAUCACUGGGCGUAAAGGGUGCGUAGGCGGGUCUUUAAGUCAGGGGUGAAAUCCUGGAGCUCAACGUCCAGAACUGCCUUUGAUACUGAGGAUCUUGAGUUCGGGAGAGGUGAGUGGAACUGCGAGUGUAGAGGUGAAAUUCGUAGAUAUCGGAAGAACACCAGUGGCGAAGGCGGCUCACUGGACCGGUAUUGACGCUGAGGUGGCGAAAGCGUGGGGAGCAAACAGG
Molecule: ribosomal RNA, 254 nt
Filed under: uncultured bacterium
Lineage: Bacteria
Description: partial 16S ribosomal RNA
Rfam family: Bacterial small subunit ribosomal RNA
Source: RNAcentral